This is a long non-coding RNA of Helicoverpa zea (corn earworm), 792 nucleotides long. RefSeq lists it as uncharacterized. NCBI's taxonomy places the organism in Eukaryota, Metazoa, Arthropoda, Insecta, Lepidoptera, Noctuidae. The record is from RefSeq and is a predicted model, not a curated record. The transcript is spliced from 2 exons.
ACUUUUUCAUAACACUAUCGUGUCCAUAAAUUUCGUAUUAAUUUAAAAAAAGUACUCUGCGACUUGUGUGGACGUUAAAUAUUUUAUAAUUUCUGCAAUAGUACUAAUUUGUUGUGUCUGAAUGAAUGCUGAUUCCGACUUUUGUAAAUUAACACUCACUAUACGUAAUUAUAAGUCGGCCAAAAUAAACAGUCGUUACAUCACAUGAUUUGAAUAGUACGCAUUCGUUCAUUUUGCCGGAUAAUAGUGGAGUGCAUUAUAAGAAAUACGAGCAAGUGCCGAUGACAGCUUUUGUUAAAUAAACAGUUGUAAAAGUUAACUUGCAAAACUCACACGGCCCUGUUAGAAUCGAGAAGCCUGCACAAUACAUUCGGGUACCGGAGACAGCCAACAGUCGACUUUUGACAACGAUGGUGGAAAUACUUAUUUUAAAAGUGAGAUAAACCAGUUUGGCGUUUCUACAAAGUAGCAAGUUUGCAUUCAUUGCUCGCAGCGAAUUCGCCAGCCGCCAUAAUAGUUAGUGUUUUGAGAAGCAUUCUAAUGAAAAAAGUGUUUGUGUAGUCAAAAUAAGUGCUGAUAAACGAAUAAGGUACAUAACGAGACGCCAUUGGUGUGAAUUUGACGUCUGUUAUUUGUCAACUGUCAACUGUCAGUGUCACUAACGUCAACUAGCCGCGUUCCAGUGUCAUAAUUAGGGAUAGUGUUACAUCUUUAACAUACGCUUGUUAAUCCAAGUUAUGCAUUCUCUCGAGUCAUUCACUUCACGUUAGAUAAACGUUGUAUUAUUUCUAA